This 281-nucleotide unclassified non-coding RNA is filed under the name uncultured fungus. RNAcentral's name for it is "sequence contains ITS2". The record is from RNAcentral. Lineage: Eukaryota; Fungi.
AACGCACCUUGUGCUCCUUGGUAUUCCGAGGAGCAUACCUGUUCGAGUGUCUUUUAAACAAUCGACCCCAAUACUUGUUGGGGCUCGGAUCUUUGGAUGUCAUGCGGUUCCUCUGGGUGCCGCUCCUCCCAAAUUCAUUAGCUGUGAUAACACGAAAACUGGCUUUGUGGAGUGUAAACUGCCUCCAUCCAUGCCGUGCGUGUUCGUGGCUACCAACGGUCUGGACACAGACAAUUGUUACCUUUGGCCUCGAAUCAGGUAGGACUACCCGCUGAACUUAA